This 381-nucleotide unclassified non-coding RNA is filed under the name Hevea brasiliensis (rubber tree). Lineage: Eukaryota; Viridiplantae; Streptophyta; Magnoliopsida; Malpighiales; Euphorbiaceae. The record is from RNAcentral.
AUUAGAGCCAAGCAUAUCAGGAUAACUUACAUAAUCAUGUAAUCCCAUAGACAGACAAGCGUUUACACCAUUGUUCUGUAGAUUUUGUCCCAUGCCUUGAAAUGAAAUCGGCUGUCCGCCUACAGAGGGAUGAUCAAGAGCUGACCCAACAAAGAGAUCACCAUAAGAAGCCGGAAACGAAGGUUGGCCGUUAUGAUGAGAGACACUGAGGCGAGAAAAUAAAGAUUCAAUGAUAUCAUGGCAAGAGUUUUGUGAGGAAGUUUGAGGCCGCAGAUGGCGUUGAUUAAGGUGGCGAACGGAAGCCUCAAAAGGUGCCGAUUGGAAUUGGUAACGGUUGUUUCUCUGCUCCAUGUUUCAAUGUUGAAAGAAUGGGAGAAAGAA